This is a long non-coding RNA of Oenanthe melanoleuca, 598 nucleotides long. RefSeq lists it as uncharacterized. Lineage: Eukaryota; Metazoa; Chordata; Aves; Passeriformes; Muscicapidae. The record is from RefSeq and is a predicted model, not a curated record. The transcript is spliced from 3 exons.
CCGCCCGCCCGGCCCGGCCGGAGCGCCGGCUCCGCGCUCACCUGGGCGGAUUUCUUGCAGGGUCCGGACUGCAGGAACCGUGCGAUCAGAAAUGCCAAAUCCAGCUGUGGAUGAAGCACCCAGGAAAUGGGUGGCUCUGUGUCCCUGUGUGCUCUGGGCUCUGCCAGCAGAAGGAUCAGGGGAAUGAUGUCAGUGUCAAAUCCAUCCUCAGUAUCUCUGAAUUCCAACUUUGUACCUAAAAAUGCCUGGAGCCCCCCAGGUUUUAUAGCAGCAAAAUUACUACUGGGUGUAAGUGUCCAGGGCCGAAUCCUGCAUUUUUGGCUUCUCCUUGGAGCCUGGGCACAAAGUAUCUGACUGCAACUGGGAAUUCAUCAUCUCUCUCCCUUGGACAUGCAAAUUUUACUGGAACUCCCUCAGCUAAGUAAACAAUUUUAAUAAAAUUACAUCCCUCUGUAUCAUCCCCCUUUCCAUAAGGUUUUGAGGAUUUUUAUGUUUCAGUUAUAUUUUUAAUUUUACAAAAAUAUCAGAAAUACUGGGAAGGAGUACAAUAUAUUUUUUUAGAGUGCUGCUUUUAUUGAAAUAAAAGGUUAUAAAACAG